GCAGUGGGGAAUAUUGCACAAUGGGCGCAAGCCUGAUGCAGCCAUGCCGCGUGUAUGAAGAAGGCCUUCGGGUUGUAAAGUACUUUCAGCGGGGAGGAAGGCGAUGCGGUUAAUAACCGCGUCGAUUGACGUUACCCGCAGAAGAAGCACCGGCUAACUCCGUGCCAGCAGCCGCGGUAAUACGGAGGGUGCAAGCGUUAAUCGGAAUUACUGGGCGUAAAGCGCACGCAGGCGGUCUGUUAAGUCAGAUGUGAAAUCCCCGGGCUUAACCUGGGAACUGCAUUUGAAACUGGCAGGCUUGAGUCUUGUAGAGGGGGGUAGAAUUCCAGGUGUAGCGGUGAAAUGCGUAGAGAUCUGGAGGAAUACCGGUGGCGAAGGCGGCCCCCUGGACAAAGACUGACGCUCAGGUGCGAAAGCGUGGGGAGCAAACAGGAUUAGA
Molecule: ribosomal RNA, 439 nt
Filed under: uncultured bacterium
Lineage: Bacteria
Description: bacterial SSU rRNA
Rfam family: Bacterial small subunit ribosomal RNA
Source: RNAcentral